Molecule: ribosomal RNA, 253 nt
Filed under: uncultured bacterium
Lineage: Bacteria
Description: partial 16S ribosomal RNA
Rfam family: Bacterial small subunit ribosomal RNA
Source: RNAcentral
UACGUAGGGUGCGAGCGUUAAUCGGAAUUACUGGGCGUAAAGCGUGCGCAGGCGGUCUGUUAAGACAGAUGUGAAAUCCCCGGGCUUAACCUGGGAACUGCAUUUGUGACUGGCAGGCUAGAGUAUGGCAGAGGGGGGUAGAAUUCCACGUGUAGCAGUGAAAUGCGUAGAGAUGUGGAGGAAUACCGAUGGCGAAGGCAGCCCCCUGGGCCAAUACUGACGCUCAUGCACGAAAGCGUGGGGAGCAAACAGA